UACGUAGGGUGCAAGCGUUUGUCCGGAAUUAUUGGGCGUAAAGAGCUCGUAGGCGGUUUGUUGCGUCGGCUGUGAAAUCCCGAGGCUCAACCUCGGGUCUGCAGUCGAUACGAGCAAACUAGAGUGUUGCAGGGGAGACUGGAAUUCCUGGUGUAGCGGUGAAAUGCGCAGAUAUCAGGAAGAACACCAAUGGCGAAAGCAGCUCUCUGGGACGGUACUGACGCUGAGACGCGAAAGCGUGGGGAGCGAACAGG
RNAcentral lists this ribosomal RNA (254 nucleotides) under uncultured bacterium. RNAcentral's name for it is "partial 16S ribosomal RNA". It matches the Rfam family "Bacterial small subunit ribosomal RNA", at positions 524 to 776 of the family's 1533-position model. The record is from RNAcentral.